RNAcentral lists this ribosomal RNA (781 nucleotides) under Cytophaga sp. T2/21.8. RNAcentral's name for it is "bacterial SSU rRNA". It matches the Rfam family "Bacterial small subunit ribosomal RNA", at positions 549 to 1335 of the family's 1533-position model. The record is from RNAcentral. Lineage: Bacteria; Pseudomonadati; Bacteroidota; Cytophagia; Cytophagales; Cytophagaceae.
AUUUAUUGGGUUUAAAGGGUGCGCAGGCGGAUAGAUAAGUCAGAGGUGAAAGCCCACAGCUCAACUGUGGAACUGCCUUUGAUACUGUUUAUCUUGAGUCUGGUUGAAGUAGGCGGAAUGUAGUAUGUAGCGGUGAAAUGCUUAGAUAUACUACAGAACACCGAUUGCGUAGGCAGCUUACUAAACCAGUACUGACGCUCAGGCACGAAAGCGUGGGGAGCGAACAGGAUUAGAUACCCUGGUAGUCCGCGCCGUAAACUUUGAUUACUCGUUGUUGGCAAUACACCGUCAGCGACUGAGCGAAAGCAUUAAGUAAUCCACCUGGGGAGUACGAUCGCAAGGUUGAAACUCAAAGGAAUUGACGGGGGCCCGCACAAGCGGAGGAGCAUGUGGUUUAAUUCGAUGAUACGCGAGGAACCUUACCUGGGCUUAAAUGUAGAGUGCAUGAGGUGGAAACACUUCUUUCCUUCGGGACCCUCUACAAGGUGCUGCAUGGUUGUCGUCAGCUCGUGCCGUGAGGUGUCGGGUUAAGUCCCAUAACGAGCGCAACCCCUAUCUUUAGUUGCCAUCAGUUCGGCUGGGGACUCUAAAGAAACUGCCCGCGCAAGCGGUGAGGAAGGUGGGGAUGACGUCAAAUCAGCACGGCCUUUAUGUCCAGGGCUACACACGUGCUACAAUGGUCGGUACAGUGGGCAGCUACAUCGCAAGAUGAUGCUAAUCUCUAAAACCGUUCUCAGUCCGAAUUGGAGUCUGCAACUCGACUCCAUGAAGUUGGAUUCGC